GGGCCUAUGGGCCCGAGAGAGAACGUGGAAUCUACUAGUAGGGGUGGUUGGGGCGUUACAAGAAUUGUGAGACCCCAAUCCCCUCUUAGGCCCACUCAAGGCCCAACAGCCCUAAUAACAAAAAAAAAAACUAACGUUAAUAUGAGUAUAUAUGUGUAUCGUCGUUCUUGUCGCCGCAGCCUCCCUUCAUCACCACCAUCGUUCUUAGCUUUGAGAAACAAAAGCAAAUCGUGAUUCUUAACCACCACCAUCCACCAUUGUUGAGUUUGAAGCUAUCGUUUGUGGGUGUAGUUGUGAUUUUUGUUCGAGAACAAGUGGUGAGAAAGGAGUUGAUCUUCACGAACCGUAACGUUCCGUCGUAGUCAUCACCAUUGGUCACUGGCUCGUUGGGGAAAGGAGAGAUCAGUUCUAGUAGAGAUAUUCUUGAACAUUUUCCCGUCUGAUCUGAAGGAACCAGAUCAUGAUUUUGGUGUCGUUGGAUAGAUCUCUCUGCAAGGAAGACAUAGCAACCAACGGCUCGUCGUUACGAGAUUCAAGUUGGCCUUUUAGAGAGCAGAUUCCGGUCAUAUCGAAGCAGUGGAGGGCAAGCCGACGGUAGAAACGUUUAGAGGGAGUGUCAGGCAAGCCAUUGGAGCCGUCGUAGUCACAAGAAAAGUGUUUGGAGGUCCGAGUCUAAUCCGAUCAAGCUGAAAUUUUGGGGAGAGCUUCGUGGUACAGCAUGGUUCAAAUUCAAAGGUGGGAUUAAGAAGUUAACGGUCCAUUCUGAAGUUAAUGGUGCGUUUGUUUGGACACUUAAGUGAGUUGUUCUCCGUCAUCAAAAAAGGCAAAGGUCAGGGUGAGAAUUGUGAGUAGUCGCGCAAGUCCGUCUCUCUUAUGGUGUAUUUCAGGAACCUCGGGUUAUUGGUUAUUAUUAUUAUUUUUAUACGUUUUAUUCAACGGUUUUAAACGAUUUAAGUUUAGUUUUAAGACAAGUUUAUAUUGAGUUUUUAGUAAAAGAAAUGAUUUUCGGGAAAAUACGACAAUAAUGAAUUAAGGAAGUGGAAUAGAGGAAAAGAUAAGUAAGGUGAACGUACGCCGUCUUAAUGU
Arabidopsis lyrata subsp. lyrata is the source of this 1086-nucleotide long non-coding RNA. RefSeq lists it as uncharacterized. The record is from RefSeq and is a predicted model, not a curated record. NCBI's taxonomy places the organism in Eukaryota, Viridiplantae, Streptophyta, Magnoliopsida, Brassicales, Brassicaceae. The transcript has 2 exons.